UACGAAGGGGGCUAGCGUUGUUCGGAAUUACUGGGCGUAAAGCGCGCGCAGGCGGUCUUCCAAGUCAGUGGUGAAAGCCCGGAGCUCAACUCCGGAACUGCCAUUGAAACUGUUAGACUUGAGGACGAGAGAGGUGAGUGGAAUUCCCAGUGUAGAGGUGAAAUUCGUAGAUACUGGGAGGAACACCGGUGGCGAAGGCGGCGACCUGGGUAGAUACUGACGCUGAGGUGCGAAAGCGUGGGGAGCAAACAGG
RNAcentral lists this ribosomal RNA (253 nucleotides) under uncultured bacterium. RNAcentral's name for it is "partial 16S ribosomal RNA". It matches the Rfam family "Bacterial small subunit ribosomal RNA", at positions 524 to 776 of the family's 1533-position model. The record is from RNAcentral.